GUAGGGAAUCUUCCGCAAUGGACGAAAGUCUGACGGAGCAACGCCGCGUGAGUGAUGAAGGUUUUCGGAUCGUAAAACUCUGUUGUUAGGGAAGAACAAGUAUCGUUCGAAUAGGGCGGUACCUUGACGGUACCUAACCAGAAAGCCACGGCUAACUACGUGCCAGCAGCCGCGGUAAUACGUAGGUGGCAAGCGUUGUCCGGAAUUAUUGGGCGUAAAGCGCGCGCAGGCGGUUUCUUAAGUCUGAUGUGAAAUCUUGCGGCUCAACCGCAAGCGGCCAUUGGAAACUGGGAGACUUGAGUGCAGAAGAGGAGAGUGGAAUUCCACGUGUAGCGGUGAAAUGCGUAGAGAUGUGGAGGAACACCAGUGGCGAAGGCGACUCUCUGGUCUGUAACUGACGCUGAGGCGCGAAAGCGUGGGGAGCGAACAGGAUUAGAAACCCUAGUAGUCC
RNAcentral lists this ribosomal RNA (451 nucleotides) under uncultured bacterium. Its description in RNAcentral is "bacterial SSU rRNA". It matches the Rfam family "Bacterial small subunit ribosomal RNA", at positions 354 to 796 of the family's 1533-position model. The record is from RNAcentral.